This 253-nucleotide ribosomal RNA is filed under the name uncultured bacterium. RNAcentral describes it as "partial 16S ribosomal RNA". It matches the Rfam family "Bacterial small subunit ribosomal RNA", at positions 524 to 776 of the family's 1533-position model. The record is from RNAcentral.
UACGGAGGGAGCUAGCGUUGUUCGGAAUUACUGGGCGAAAAGCGCGCGUAGGCGGCUUUGUAAGUUAGAGGUGAAAGCCCGGGGCUCAACUCCGGAACUGCCUUUAAGACUGCAUCGCUUGAAUCCGGGAGAGGUGAGUGGAAUUCCGAGUGUAGAGGUGAAAUUCGUAGAUAUUCGGAAGAACACCAGUGGCGAAGGCGGCUCACUGGACCGGUAUUGACGCUGAGGUGCGAAAGCGUGGGGAGCAAACAGG